Molecule: ribosomal RNA, 402 nt
Filed under: uncultured bacterium
Lineage: Bacteria
Description: bacterial SSU rRNA
Rfam family: Bacterial small subunit ribosomal RNA
Source: RNAcentral
UCGGGAAUUUUGGGCAAUGGGCGAAAGCCUGACCCAGCAACGCCGCGUGAGGGAUGAAGUAUUUCGGUAUGUAAACCUCGAAAGAAUGGGAAGAAUAAAUGACGGUACCAUUUAUAAGCUCCGGCUAACUACGUGCCAGCAGCCGCGGUAAUACGUAGGGAGCAAGCGUUGUUCGGAUUUACUGGGCGUAAAGGGCGCGUAGGCGGCGCGGUAAGUCACUUGUGAAAUCUCUGAGCCUAACUCAGAACGGCCGAGUGAUACUGCUGUGCUAGAGUGCGGAAGAGGCAACCGGAAUUCUUGGUGUAGCGGUGAAAUGCGUAGAUAUCAAGAGGAACACCUGAGGCGAAGGCGGGUUGCUGGGCCGACACUGACGCUGAUGCGCGAAAGCCAGGGGAGCAAACG